Panicum virgatum (switchgrass) is the source of this 915-nucleotide long non-coding RNA. RefSeq lists it as uncharacterized. The transcript has 2 exons. The record is from RefSeq and is a predicted model, not a curated record. Lineage: Eukaryota; Viridiplantae; Streptophyta; Magnoliopsida; Poales; Poaceae.
CAACACUCAAGGUUCAAAAAAACGUGAUUAAACAUCGUUUAAUCGAGAUUAAACGCUAGACGGCGGCCUAACGUCUCGUUUAGGGCCUAGGCGCCCAAUUAAGCGUUGGGCGUGCCUAGACGCUGCGUCUACGCACUAGGCGGAGCGUAGGCGGCGCGGACGCGUGAAAAAACGACGCUAGGCGUCGCUGGGCGGGAGGGUCGGGCGGCGGCCGCGCGCGCAGAAAGUGCGAGCAGGAAAAAAGGGCGGGCUGCGGGCGGACUGCGCCAAAACAGAGCGGGCGGCAGGGAUUAGAUAGGUACGAACCUUUUCUUUCCUCGCACACGCGAGGCUAUGACCCGUUGUUGUUCUUCCGCUUCCUGCCGGUAGCGAGCGGAGCCCUGCGCCCCUGCUCCAGAAAUCGCACGGCCUGGAGGGGAAUCGAGGGAGCUGCUCAAGAAAUCAGCACAUCCUGGAGGGAAAUCGAGUGCUGGUGCAGGCGGCGGCGUUCUCCUCGGUCCGUCCCCUGCGUUGUCGCCGGCAAAGCCAUGCGCCCCUGCUGCACACCUGCGUCCUCUGCUCCUCGACAUAGAUCCAAUCAAGGUGCUCCUACAAUCUCUCCCCCCGUUAAUCCGUUAAUUUCUCCUUCACUGGAUUGUUUAUUCUCUGUAUGACUGCUACUGCAUGGAUGUCUGCUAGUGAUACUUGCCAAUUGGUUGAUGAAUUGGAUCGGGGUCUGCAGUCUUCUAGUCUUUAUGUGUGCUACCUCUGUAUUACUUAGUACUUACUACUAAUCUUGCUCUCAGCAGCACAAAAAUAAAUAAAAAAUAAAAAAAACACACAAACGAUUAAUCACGUUUAAUCUACGUUUAAUCUUCCUAGGCGCUAGUCAGUAGGCUAGCGCCUGCCUAGCGCCUAGCGUUUUCUUGAACAUUG